CCUACGGGAGGCAGCAGUGAGGAAUAUUGGUCAAUGGGCGGAAGCCUGAACCAGCCAAGUAGCGUGCGGGAUGAAGGCCCUACGGGUCGUAAACCGCUUUUGCACGGGGAUAACACCCUCCACUUGUGGAGGUCUGCAGGUACCGUGCGAAUAAGGGCCGGCUAAUUCCGUGCCAGCAGCCGCGGUAAUACGGAAGGCCCGAGCGUUAUCCGGAUUCAUUGGGUUUAAAGGGUGCGCAGGCGGCCUGUUAAGUCAGCGGUAAAAGCCCGGGGCUCAACCCCGGCGAGCCGUUGAAACUGGCGGGCUGGAGUUGGAGAGAAGUACGCGGAAUGCGCGGUGUAGCGGUGAAAUGCUUAGAUAUCGCGCAGAACCCCGAUUGCGAAGGCAGCGUACUGGCUCCACACUGACGCUGAGGCACGAAAGCGUGGGUAUCGAACAGGAUUAGAUACCCUUGUAGUC
Molecule: ribosomal RNA, 459 nt
Filed under: uncultured bacterium
Lineage: Bacteria
Description: partial 16S ribosomal RNA
Rfam family: Bacterial small subunit ribosomal RNA
Source: RNAcentral